GGGGCACUAGCUCAUCUGGCUAGAGCGCAACGCUGGCAGUGUUGAGGUGGUCGGUUCGAGUCCGACGUGCUCCA
RNAcentral lists this transfer RNA (74 nucleotides) under Dysgonomonas hofstadii. It matches the Rfam family "tRNA". Rfam says of the family: Transfer RNA (tRNA) molecules are approximately 80 nucleotides in length. Their secondary structure includes four short double-helical elements and three loops (D, anti-codon, and T loops). Lineage: Bacteria; Pseudomonadati; Bacteroidota; Bacteroidia; Bacteroidales; Dysgonomonadaceae. The record is from Rfam by way of RNAcentral.